UUUUUCUAUAUCUGUUAAGCAUUCUUGUCCUUCUGCAUUAAACAGAGUAUAAUUUCUAACUUCUUCUAGGUUUUCUUUUAUAUUUUUGUUUUCUUUUGACAGGUUGCUAUUUUGGCAUUGAUUGUUUUGGCAAUUGUCGCAACAUGGUUCUGGAAGCAAUCUUGUUUUAUGUGUGUUUAGUGUUCUAUAUACUGUUGGCAAUGUUACUGUUUGUACUGGUGUAUAAGUUAAAUUUUUAAAGAGCAUUAUUCCAUCUCUUGUUAAGAGACAUCCUCCUUUAUUCUGUAUACAAAAUCUUAGUCCGAUAACAAAAUCUGAUCCUAUAUUUAAAUCUCUUGCUAAUAUUUUAUUAACAUUGUAAACUGGGUUAUAGAAUUUAUUGCAUGUAUUUAAAAAACUUAUUUGUGCUUUUUCUAUGUAAUAAUUAUAGAUAUUUUG
This 438-nucleotide long non-coding RNA is filed under the name Capsicum annuum. RNAcentral describes it as "long non-coding RNA (CANN_LNC000308)". The record is from RNAcentral. Lineage: Eukaryota; Viridiplantae; Streptophyta; Magnoliopsida; Solanales; Solanaceae.